This 491-nucleotide ribosomal RNA is filed under the name uncultured bacterium. RNAcentral describes it as "bacterial SSU rRNA". It matches the Rfam family "Bacterial small subunit ribosomal RNA", at positions 29 to 507 of the family's 1533-position model. The record is from RNAcentral.
AUGAACGCUAGCGACAGGCCUAACACAUGCAAGUCAGGGGCAGCGCGGAUCAAGCUUGCUUGAUUUGGCGGCGACCGGCGCACGGGUGCGUAACAGGUGUGCAAUCUGUCCAUAAUCGGGGAAUAGCCCAGCGAAAGUUGGAUUAAUGCUCCAUGUGAGUUUUAGAGGCAUCUCUUUAAUUUUGAUUAAAGGAUUUCCGGUUACAGAUGAGCAUGCGUAUCAUUAGCUAGUUGGUAGAGUAACGGCCUACCAAGGCAACGAUGAUUAGGGGUUCUGAGAGGAAGAUCCCCCACACUGGUACUGAGACACGGACCAGACUCCUACGGGAGGCAGCAGUGAGGAAUAUUGGUCAAUGGGCGAAAGCCUGAACCAGCCAAGUCGCGUGAAGGAUGACGGCCCUUAGGGUUGUAAACUUCUUUUAUUUGAGAGUAAAAGAUCCUACGUGUAGGAUUUUGCAAGUAUCAAAAGAAUAAGCAUCGGCUAAUUCCGUG